Molecule: ribosomal RNA, 253 nt
Filed under: uncultured bacterium
Lineage: Bacteria
Description: partial 16S ribosomal RNA
Rfam family: Bacterial small subunit ribosomal RNA
Source: RNAcentral
UACGUAGGAGACGAGCGUUGUCCGGAGUUACUGGGCGUAAAGGGUGCGCAGGUGGCGGCGCGCGUGGGGGGUGAAAUCCCCGGGCUUAACCUGGGAACUGCGUUUGAAACUGGAAGGCUAGAGUGUGGCAGAGGGGGGUGGAAUUCCACGUGUAGCAGUGAAAUGCGUAGAUAUGUGGAGGAACACCGAUGGCGAAGGCAGCCCCCUGGGCUAACACUGACGCUCAUGCACGAAAGCGUGGGGAGCAAACAGG